CCUGGCUUCCUGGACUUUCUUGUGGCUACCAACAGCUCCCCAUCCCCAAAUUGUUACACACCUCUGUUCAAUUUCCUGACCCUCUGUACUUUUGCCCUGUGUCCUCCCAUACCAGAUCCUGUCUCCUUUUCCAUCCCCUCCACCUCCGAUCUUCCUCUCAAGUCCCUCUCACCCUCUAUCUCCCUUGAUUAUUUUGUUCCCACUUCUAAAUAGGACUGAAGCAUCCACACUUUGGUCUUCCUUCUUGAGCGUCCUAUGGUUUGUGAGUUGAAUUGGGAACAUAAUGGUGUUUGUCCGUUAACGAUGGGGUUAUUUCAACCAGUAUAUUUUUUGCCAGUUCCAUAACUUAGAACAAGAUGUAAAACUAUAAACUCUUUCUGCACCGUGCUGCCUUGACACUGAAGUGCUUCCACAUUAAUGAUAAUGAACUGAACCUCGGAACUAUAACGUAAUUUCAGUAUGAUCAAAGAUACAACACUUACCAUCUGGGCCAAUUAUCCAACUAAAGUUCCACUUUAUGUAAUGAAGGUUCUCUUCAGAUGGCCUGAAUAGAUGGACUG
Molecule: long non-coding RNA, 560 nt
Organism: Mus musculus (house mouse)
Lineage: Eukaryota; Metazoa; Chordata; Mammalia; Rodentia; Muridae
Product: predicted gene, 41243
Exons: 4
Source: RefSeq, a predicted model, not a curated record